Molecule: unclassified non-coding RNA, 390 nt
Filed under: fungal sp.
Lineage: Eukaryota; Fungi
Description: partial internal transcribed spacer region
Rfam family: Eukaryotic small subunit ribosomal RNA (bases 1-46)
Source: RNAcentral
AAGUCGUAACAAGGUAACCGUAGGUGAACCUGCGGUUGGAUCAUUAUUGAAUCCUGCUUCUCUUUUGAAUUCUGCAAGGAAUUUGAUUGAGAAUCAGUAAUGGGGUUUUGACUGGUUGAUGAAAGUCAAUUGGUUUGAAAUCUCUAAAGGGUUGUCUUUUCAAGGCAUCACUUUACACCUUAAAACUCGUUGAUCUAACUACGCUGAAAAGUAUGGUUAGAACAACACUUGAAACUAUUGUUGAUUGAUUGGCUAGAGAGCAAUCAAAAGUCAGUCUUCAACGGUAGCCCCCUAGAAAAACAUCUUGUUAAUCUUUUUUAAACAAUUACUGGACGCAAGAAAGGUAAAAGAAUGAAAAAACAACUUUUGACAACGGAUCUCUAGGCUCUC